RNAcentral lists this non-coding RNA (81 nucleotides) under Homo sapiens (human). Lineage: Eukaryota; Metazoa; Chordata; Mammalia; Primates; Hominidae. The record is from RNAcentral.
CCGCCCCUCUCCUGGCCGCCGCUGCCUCAACCCCACGCGGCGGGGCAGCGGGGCUGCAGGCAUCGCGGCGACCAGCGGCUC